UCUGUAAACCAAAGCGGACUUCAAGCCUG
Molecule: non-coding RNA, 29 nt
Filed under: Homo sapiens (human)
Lineage: Eukaryota; Metazoa; Chordata; Mammalia; Primates; Hominidae
Source: RNAcentral